ACCACCCCCCAGUUGAUCCUAAAGUAGUUAAAACCAUUUUCGUUUUGCAUGGAAAAUAGUGACCUGUGCCAAUUUUUGCGUUUAUCCCCGUUUAUUUGUGUCCAUUUAAGUAAAAAUAACGAUCUGUACACCUUAACGAGCUUAAUGAUACAAUUACGGGAGGCAGUGCAAACCAAAAGUGACAAAUUAUCGCCCGAUCGACGAAACCUGACUAAGUUGGUCAAGCCCUAGCCCUGAUGAAGAUGCCCCCCAAUAGCAUCGAAACGUUGGCAUUG
Molecule: long non-coding RNA, 275 nt
Organism: Culex quinquefasciatus (southern house mosquito)
Lineage: Eukaryota; Metazoa; Arthropoda; Insecta; Diptera; Culicidae
Exons: 3
Source: RefSeq, a predicted model, not a curated record